GUGAGCUCACGCAACCGUGAAGUCAGCUCACGCAACCGUGAAGUCAGAUUCCUCCGCCGAGGCGGCCCUCUCUCCGGGGGCUUUGCCUUCGCUCUCCAGCUUUUCUUCUUUCACUCCCGCGCGCCGACUCCAGCCCGCUGGGCUCACGCUCUGCCGGACACCAAUCCCGGCGCCCCUGCCCGACGGCGCUCAAGGAUAGGCCUGGCCUUGUCCGCGGAGUCCGCCCCUCGCCGCCACCGGGACCGGCCCCCGAGCCGACACGCACUUCCGGCAGCGCCGCGGCCGGCAGGGAGUGAGCGGGGAGCAAGGCCUGCGGUGAGGCGCGGGAUGGACGCGCUGGCUGUCAUGAUGUAGGAUCUCCUGACCCAGAACCAUGCCCGGCGCAGGGAGAACAACGAGCUUAUGGACCGGGUGCGGGGGCUGCUGUGCGAGAAAGCCUACCUGCUGGCCCGGGAGCGUUCGCCGGCCCACCUGGUGGCUUUCCCGAGACGUUUAACGGCGACUCCGCCCGGCCUCCCGACUUUUUGAUGCAGGGUUCUCUUACAUGACUUUCUUCCAGGCUAGAUUCUUGAAAGACAUCCUGAAGGUGGCUUUCUUAAUUAGCUGCCUCACUGGGUGGCGGAGCAGUGGGUAGUCCCCUACAUCGAGAGGGAGAGCCCCGUCCUGGCUCAGUACGUGGGCUUCGUGGACGCGCUGUAGCCGGGCCUUGGCCGUUGUGGGUAGGAAACAAUCGGGCCGGAUCCCCGGUGUCUGGGGAGCGGCUGCAGCCGGGGCCCGCGCGAGCCACUUCACUCCUACAAGCCCGGCUCACUAGUUCCAAGCUGCUGGACUUUGACCCUCGCUGGGAAGCCUGCUCGCCGCCUGUUCUCGCCAAUCUCUAUGCCUUUGCACUGCCCAGCAACCCGGCCACUGCCCAGGACCUGUUAAAAGUUGAAUGGACCUCCCAGAAUCACGCCCCUGCCACCGCCGUUUCUAGAGACGGCUUUUGGCCACCUUUGAGAAUCAGGGUCAAACUUGGAAGGGCCUGCAUUUGUCAUACCUCCUCGGACACUAAUUUGGAUAGUUCAGGCCCUGAGACAGCUUCCCGGGUUAGUGUGCCUGACAACACUGAUGAAAAAUUGUGACAUUUUCCUUCCCCAAAACUACUUCGUUUUAUACAUUUCACUUCUCUUCUGAAAUCACAGCAAUGUCAGUUUGCGCCUUUUGGUCUGAGGAACCCAGGCCCUGGCCACUACCAGGAAAAAGUAUUUACUUUUAAAACUUGAAUGUAUAUCUUUACCAUAUGCCUAGUACAGUAGUGCUUGGAAGAAACAGAUUAGUAAGACAAAAUGUAUGUCUUCAAGAACACUUACGUUCUGAGAAAGAAUUCUGAAUGCAGAUUCUAAUGUCUGGUAAAAUGCUUGACGGUGUAAAGAAUGCAUAUAUGAUUCUUAUGGCAUUUUAAACUUUCCAUCCCACUGUUUUAAAGUGUUAACAUAUGUUAAAAAAUAUAUGCAAUUUAGAAAGGAGAGGGAAAGCCCAGCUUGAUGUUUGCUGCCAAAGAUGGUAUAUUUAAAAUUAAACAAAACUAAUGGCAAAAAAUAAUGGGAAUGCUGCAGUCUUUGAGCUGUAUCCAGUUGGCAUUAUUCUCUUGGACUAAAAGGAAUAGUAUUAACUUCCUCACUUUGGGUAAGCCACUUUAGAUUUUUGGGCUGCAGUUUUCUCAGGUAAUUAGAGACUUUAUAUUAUUAAAGUUUGGUUCACAAUUCUUUGAGUCUCUUUUGGGAACAAAGAAGGUAAGAGGAGGAUAUGUGCCCUCCUUCAAUCAAGGGGUUUCUUGAAACCCUCUAAGGAGAAAAAUCUGAAACUGCCCUUCCUAAAACGCUCAUGGGUUUGUCAUACUGAUGAUCAAUAUCGUCCCAGUGAAAUAUCUUUGAAUUCCUAGUUAGGAAUCUUUAUGUUAAGAUAAACUGAUCACUCUCUCCUUCGUGGACAGUUUAUCUACCUAAAGACGAUAGGGGAAAACACUGUUUUUGAAAGACGAAAUAAAGACAUGUUGUAGCAGUUA
This 2047-nucleotide long non-coding RNA is filed under the name Pongo abelii (Sumatran orangutan). Its description in RNAcentral is "lincRNA". Lineage: Eukaryota; Metazoa; Chordata; Mammalia; Primates; Hominidae. The record is from RNAcentral.